ACCUGCAGCAUAUGAAAGUUCCCAGGAUGGAGGUCGAAUUGGAGCUGUAGCUGCCAGCCUACACCACAGCCAUAGCAACAGCAGGUCUGAACCGUGUCUGUGACCUACGCCACAGCUCACGGCAACACCAGAGCCUUAACCCACUUAUCAAACCCAGCGUCCUCGUGGAUACUAGUAGAGUUUGUUACCACUGAGCCAUGACAGAAACUCCUAUAGAGCUUUCAACUCUAUAGGAGUUGAAGUGGGGCUCUAGCCUCACUGUGCUGUGACACCUUGGAUUAAGAAUCCCACUGCAGCAGCUUGGGUCACUGUCGAGGUACAGGUUCAUUCCCCAGCCUGGUGCAGUGGGUUAAAGGAUCUGGCCACAGCUGAGGCUGGGCUUCAAUACCUGGUCUGGGAAUUUCCAUCUUCCAUGGGUGCGCCCAUUAAAGAAAAGAAAGAAAAGUCUCUAGGAAGAUCCUAUCCUACUCUUUCUCCCAAACCUGUUUUUUUUUUUUUUUUUUUUUUUUUUCCGCCUGAACCCCUGGGACCUUUGUGAUUAAGUAAAAUGAUUCCUAAGCAAUAAACAGCAUGCCUCACCAAAUUCCCGAUUUAUAGAGGAGACAUGAAUGAGAUGCCGUAAUUUUAUAAAGAGUGUUUGGAGAAGGAAGCAAGAAUACGGCAUCCAUUCAUUCACUCAUUCACUGAACAUAAUUUAAACAUUAUGGGACAGUUACUAAGCCAAGUCAUUGUGUUGGUACCCAGGGGACAUAAGACAGACAUGGAUCUUAUUCUCAAUGCCUAAAUUUUCCAAUGAUUAUUGUCUUUCCCUGUUGUUGGCCAAGUUCCACCUCUCAGUCUGAACCAUUCAUUACAGCCUGACACAGCCAGCCCUGUCCCUGGAAUGACCCUCUGGAUGCUACUUCCCUGAUGGGUGUAGGAAAGUCAGGAUCCCUGUGGAUUGGCCAAACAAUCACUCAGGAAAGAAUAGUCUCCCCGUUCCUGUUCUCUCCCACCCUUCUCAGUGAGCUGUAAGGAAAUGGAGAAAUAAUGGGCUGGGAUUAGCCCCAGGAUCCUUCAAUAAACAGCUCCCCCUUAAUAAACUGCUCCUACACACCCCUCUCGUAUGUUAAAUGGAAAGAAAAUGAGCGGGUUAGAUCUCUUGCAGUUUCAAAAGAGAAUUGAGUUCAAUUCUAUACGAUAGAUGCUUAGUUACAUCAUAAACAACGGUAUGGGAACACGGAGAUCUGCCAGAGAGACAAACUGUUCCUAAAAGUAAAAAACCCUGAUGUGCAAACAGAUAUUAGCAAAUAAGCAGCUUGUUCCCCAGAUGCUGGGAGGCCAAAUUUCCCUGAAAGGGAAGAAGUCCUAGAAAGUGAAGGACUGGCCAGAGGCUCAGGCUGAUGUCGAUCACCUGCCCAAAGUCUGGUACGUAGUAGGUACACUCUAUAUGUGGUUUGCAGCUGUCCUAGUGGGUGACAUUUGAUAGUUCCACAGGGUACGUGGUGCUCCGGCCCUUUAGCACAGUGCCUGGUUUAGUCAUUCAGAUUUUGAUGAACAAGGAAUCUUGGGGGACCCUUGCUCUAUAUAAAUGGACCAGUCCUAUAUGAUAAUAUAAAAGGCACCACGUGAUCCUGUCUGCUUAAACAAACAAAACAAAACUCUUCCACCAGCCACAGAGGUUUUACUAAAAUUUGCAAAUGCACAGAGCAUUUACUGCCCUAGAGCACUAUCUUAUGGUGAAGGACCACAGUGAGCCUGGGAUGAUAUUUGCCUUCUAGAAGCUACAUUUUAGGAUGUGCCUGUGUGUGUACUUGGGUAGAGAGGACAGGGAUCCAUUAAUAAGUAUUACGAAAGAACACAGGGAAUCAUGGAGGAAGGAAAUUCAUAUUCCUUGGAGAAUCUAGAAAGGCAUCUUGAAGGAGAUGGAAUUGAGCUGAGCUUAAAGGAAGGGGUGGGGUACAUAUUCCAAGAAAAAGGAAUCUCUGGACAAAGUAGAAAUUUAUGGCACUGGAGAGCAUAUUUAGGAAAAGGCCAGAAGAGCCUGUAAGAGACCAAUGAGCUGUCUGUCUGCACUGUGAGGCUGUGGGUGCCUCCGUGGCCAAGAAAGUAGCACUGGUUUAAGACCGUCACAAGCCCUAAGUAUAGAAAUUUGAUUACAAUGCUCUCCAUGUGCUACAAGUUUGAUCCCUUAAAAAAAAAAAAAAGAAAAAAAACUCUUUAAAAAUUUUUUAAAAAGAAAAAAUAAUCUGAUUUGGAGAUUCUGGAGUUAGACUAGAAGCAGCUCUGCUGCAGGGAAAAAUGAACUCUGGGAACUCAGGGGAUUAAGACUCAUGCAUUUGGUUGGGGCAGCUCCCAGAGGCAACACUCUUUCAAGUGGUGACUUCAGAUUCAAGGCUCCUUGCAAACAGCGACUCUGCCAUCCACUAGAGCCUCCUUGACCCUCUACUGACCCUCUGCAUUCAGCUGUCCAACCACCAGAGAGAGAGGUCAUGGCACAUUGCCCAGGUAGGGGGCAAAUCACACCCAUCCCCCAUUCUAAGUGCCAGAGCUAGUCUCCUGGCCCCAUCCACCCUGUCUCUGCAGAGACCAAAAAUGUAGAGAACCAUACAUGCAUUCCUUUCCUGUGGCUGUUGUAACAAAUGAUUACACACCUAGUGGCUUAAGAAAACAUAAAUGUACUAUCUUAUAGUUCUGUAGGUUAGAAAUCUGAUAUGGGUCUCACUGGGCCAAGACCAAGGUGUCACCAGGACUGUAUUCCUUCUAGAGGCUCUAGAGGAGACUGUUUUCUUGCCUUUUCCAGCUUCUAGAUGCGGCCCACAUUCCUUAGCUUGUGGCGGCCUUCUUCCACCUCGAAGCCAGGAACAGUGCAUUUCUUACAAAUGUUGACACCUAACUUAAUGAAUAUUUUUUAUGAAUAUUAUUUUGAUUCUUAAUAGUCAAUGUUUAUGCUGUUGUAGCUAUUGCAUUCUCUUUCCAUAUUUCCACUCUUAUUAUUAUUUUUUUUUCACAAUUCCAAAGUAAGACUGCAUGUGAUACCUGGUUGAAUUUACUUAAGGUAGUUCCCUAAAUUUGUUUAAAAUUUCACCAAAAUCUUACCCCACAUUUCAGCAUUGAAAUGAAAGUUUCUGGUGCAUAGAAGUUCAUGCAGACACACCUAGGAGAAGCGAAACAAAGUUUGUUUAAAAAAAAAAAAAGGAAUGAGCACCUUUCCACAGGUUUUGGAAAAGCAACAACAACAGUGUCCUUUAGACCUAAGUUGGUCCAGACACAUACAGUGAAAUUAGAAGCAGUAAACAUCCAGGCAGAACAAUUUGGUGUAACUGACUUGUCCAUCGUGAAGGACUCAGACUCUAUAAACAUGAAUCUGACAAAACGGCCUGGCUGAUUUUUUUCAAGAGGAAAUGUUUAACUAUCCUCAGUAUAUAACUUAAGAAGAAAACAAAAUAUCUGCUUAAUCCAAUAAGGAAAUGCAGAACAGACACAGGUAUUCCUUUAUAUACCUCAAGUUCAAGAUCAGUAUUAAAUCUCCAAAAGCAGUAAAGCUCCCCCAAGACAGCAGCUUCUCACUGCAAUGCUCUGCAUAGCUGCCAAGGCCUAAAGGAAAUAACAAGAACUUAUAUGAAGAAAGACAUAUUUUGCUCUAGUUCAUAAAUCAAAUAAAUUCUGUAUACGUUUAAUGUUUCUUUUUUCCCAAAAAAGUUUUUUCUGCAUCAGUGAGGUGACUUAAAGAAUUAAGAGUAUUUGCAGCAAUUCGCUUGUGACACCUCUGUCAGCACUGAUUGCCAUACACCAUGAACAAGAAACAAAUGUCCAUGGACUUCAAUGCCCUUUCCAUGUGCGAUGCUUCAGAUGCUUCAUUAUCAUAUGGGCCCUGAGUCUGUGGUGACCCAGAGCCAGUUUGCACCAGCUCUUAAGAACCAUUGUACGUAUUUUCCCAACACCAGGUUCAAGGACAUCUCAUGGUUAAUUUGAAAUGGCCACAGUGAGUGUUUACAACACCACUGCCAAAAAAAAAAAAAAAAGUCAAAUACUGCAAAUGAGACUAUUUUCUAUUAUUUACUUCCGAGAGCCAACUGCUAAGCCCACACUGGCUCCAAAUCUGCUUUCAGGACUUAUGUGGGCCAACCAUCCUUCUAAAUCCUAUUGGUUCUGUUGUUUAGUGAGACUUCAGGAUUAAGAGUUUUGAAAUCCUACGGCUUUUAGUAGUUUUAUCAACAACAACAAAAAUAGAUUUCUACCUAUUACUUAAGAGGAAGUGCUUUGAAUCCUGCUUUCUUUGCUAGAAUAAGGACAGGAAUCUUCUUCCUUCUUGUUAACGGAUGUAUCCCAACAACCUGACAGCACAUGGUAAGUGCUCCAUAAAUAUUUGCUGAGUAAAUGAAUCAGAUUUACCCAAAGCUGGACCACUGCCUUCCCAGUAGGUGAUUCCACCAGGCUUUCUUUGUCAUUAGUAUUGCAAAAUCUCUAUGGGGGGAAAAAAAAAGAGUAAAACUCCUGCCAAUAACUCCUUCUUCUGCAUGCUCAUAAUAAUUUAGAAAGUACAUACGUUAUACAGUAGCAUUUAUCUACAUCAUCUCUUUUUUAUUAUACAUAUUGUGACACCUCCAUGCUAAUAGCAGCUCCAAAAAUGUGAGUGAAUUUUGUUUUAAGGUAUGUUUCUGUUUUAAAAAUAUUUCAUUUAUAGUUUUAUUAUUUAUUUCCAUGAAUAUAUCACAUAGAAAGGACUUAUCUUUGGUUGUGCCUCUUAGCCCAGUGCAAGCCCAUUUGCAACAGGUGUGAUGGCCAAGCCUGCACUCCAAGUCUCAUUGCCUCCUGUGUCCUUGGUCUGGGCAAGAGUUCAGGCUCAGCACAUGUUUAUGAAAGCAACAGUGCUGACUUUGCCUUUCAAAACUCUGGAGAGAUUUCAGCAAACCUCAAAGGAAGAAAGGCUGAGUUUCUUCCUACA
Molecule: long non-coding RNA, 4927 nt
Filed under: Sus scrofa (pig)
Lineage: Eukaryota; Metazoa; Chordata; Mammalia; Artiodactyla; Suidae
Description: lncRNA (ENSSSCG00000059256.1)
Source: RNAcentral